This 1221-nucleotide ribosomal RNA is filed under the name Squalidus chankaensis tsuchigae. RNAcentral's name for it is "partial 16S ribosomal RNA". It matches the Rfam family "Bacterial large subunit ribosomal RNA", at positions 700 to 2561 of the family's 2925-position model. Lineage: Eukaryota; Metazoa; Chordata; Actinopteri; Cypriniformes; Gobionidae. The record is from RNAcentral.
CUUUAGUUUGAUACCCCGAAACCAGGUGAGCUACCCCGAGACAGCCUAUAUAACUUAGGGCUAACCCGUCUCUGUGGCAAAAGAGUGGGAAGAGCUCCGGGUAGAAGUGACAGACCUACCGAACCUGGUGAUAGCUGGUUGCCUGAGAAGUGGAUAGAAGUUCAGCCCCGUACACCCCAAACCAAAAACAUUCUUCUUAAGAUACUAAGAGAUACAUACGGGAGUUAGUUAAAGGGGGUACAGCCCCUCUAACAAAGGAUACAACCUUCGCAGGAGAAUAAAGAUCACAAUAUUCAAAACAUCCUGUUCUAGUGGGCCUAAAAGCAGCCACCUAUACAGAAAGCGUUAAAGCUCAGACAGAAGAAAGUUUAUUAUACCGAUAAAAAAUCUUAUUUCCCUAAAAAUAUCAGGCUAGUCCAUGCCAACAUGGAAGAAAUUAUGCUAAAAUGAGUAACAAGAAGACACGUUCUUCUCCAAGCACAAGUGUAAACCAGAUCGGACAAACCACUGGAAAUUAACGAACCCAAACAAAGAGGGCAGUGUGGACAAUAAAGAAACCAGGAAAACCCCACAAUCAAACCAUCGUUAACCCCACACUGGAGUGCAUAUUUAAAGGAAAGACUAAAAGAAAGGGAAGGAACUCGGCAAACCCAAGCCUCGCCUGUUUACCAAAAACAUCGCCUCCUGCAACUAUAUUAAGUAUAGGAGGUCCAGCCUGCCCAGUGACUACGGGUUCAACGGCCGCGGUAUUUUGACCGUGCAAAGGUAGCGCAAUCACUUGUCUUUUAAAUAGAGACCUGUAUGAAUGGCUAAACGAGGGCUUAACUGUCUCCCCCUUCUGGUCAGUGAAAUUGAUCUAUCCGUGCAGAAGCGGGUAUAAUUAUACAAGACGAGAAGACCCUUUGGAGCUUAAGGUACAAAAUUCAACCACGUUAAACAACUCAACAAAAAGCAAGAACUUAGUGGAAAAUGAAAUUUUACCUUCGGUUGGGGCGACCGCGGAGGAAAACCCAGCCUCCGAGUGGAAUGGGCCAAACCCCCUAAAACCAAGAGAGACAUCUCUAAGCCACAGAACAUCUGACCAAAAAUGAUCCGGCUUUAAUAGCCGAUCAACGAACCAAGUUACCCUAGGGAUAACAGCGCAAUCCUCUCCCAGAGUCCAUAUCGACGAGGGGGUUUACGACCUCGAUGUUGGAUCAGGACAUCCUAAUGGUGCAGCCG